RNAcentral lists this small RNA (33 nucleotides) under Bombyx mori (domestic silkworm). RNAcentral describes it as "ovarian small RNA-15101". The record is from RNAcentral. Lineage: Eukaryota; Metazoa; Arthropoda; Insecta; Lepidoptera; Bombycidae.
GAAAUGACCGAUGACUCGGUUGACGUGCGCGAC